This 510-nucleotide ribosomal RNA is filed under the name Glomus sp. Glo27. Its description in RNAcentral is "SSU rRNA". It matches the Rfam family "Eukaryotic small subunit ribosomal RNA", at positions 569 to 1078 of the family's 1831-position model. The record is from RNAcentral. Lineage: Eukaryota; Fungi; Glomeromycota; Glomeromycetes; Glomerales; Glomeraceae.
AGCAGCCGCGGGUAAUUCCAGCUCCAAUAGCGUAUAUUAAAGUUGUUGCAGUUAAAAAGCUCGUAGUUGAAUUUCGGGGUCAGUAGGUCGGUCGUGCCACUGGUAUGAACUGGUUUUACUGAUUCCUCCCUCUUGAAGAACAGUAAUGCCAUUAAUUUGGUGUUGCAGGGAAUCAGGACUGUUACUUUGAAAAAAUUAGAGUGUUUAAAGCAAGCUAACGCUUGAAUACAUUAGCAUGGAAUAAUGAAAUAGGACGUUCGAUCCUAUUUUGUUGGUUUCUAGGAUUGACGUAAUGAUUAAUAGGGAUAGUUGGGGGCAUUAGUAUUCAAUUGUCAGAGGUGAAAUUCUUGGAUUUAUUGAAGACUAACUACUGCGAAAGCAUUUGCCAAGGAUGUUUUCAUUAAUCAAGAACGAAAGUUAGGGGAUCGAAGACGAUCAGAUACCCGUCGUAGUCUUAACCAUAAACUAUGCCGACUAGGGAUCGGAUGAUGUUAAUUUUUUAAUGACUCA